ACGCUCGACACCUACGGAAGGCAGCAGUGGAGAAUAUUGCACAAUGGAGGAAACUCUGAUGCAGCGAUGCCGCGUGAGGGAAGAAGGUUUUCGGAUUGUAAACCUCUGUCUUUGGGGACGAUAAUGACGGUACCCAAGGAGGAAGCUCCGGCUAACUACGUGCCUGCAGCCGCGGUAAUCUGAGCGGCUGGCAAGGC
This 197-nucleotide ribosomal RNA is filed under the name uncultured bacterium. RNAcentral describes it as "partial 16S ribosomal RNA". It matches the Rfam family "Bacterial small subunit ribosomal RNA", at positions 326 to 539 of the family's 1533-position model. The record is from RNAcentral.